Molecule: ribosomal RNA, 433 nt
Filed under: uncultured bacterium
Lineage: Bacteria
Description: bacterial SSU rRNA
Rfam family: Bacterial small subunit ribosomal RNA
Source: RNAcentral
GAACGCGAAGAACCUUACCAGGUCUUGACAUCCCUCUGACCGCUCUAGAGAUAGAGUUUUCCUUCGGGACAGAGGUGACAGGUGGUGCAUGGUUGUCGUCAGCUCGUGUCGUGAGAUGUUGGGUUAAGUCCCGCAACGAGCGCAACCCCUAUUGUUAGUUGCCAUCAUUCAGUUGGGCACUCUAGCGAGACUGCCGGUAAUAAACCGGAGGAAGGUGGGGAUGACGUCAAAUCAUCAUGCCCCUUAUGACCUGGGCUACACACGUGCUACAAUGGUUGGUACAACGAGUCGCAAGCCGGUGACGGCAAGCUAAUCUCUUAAAGCCAAUCUCAGUUCGGAUUGUAGGCUGCAACUCGCCUACAUGAAGUCGGAAUCGCUAGUAAUCGCGGAUCGGCACGCCGCGGUGAAUACGUUCCCGGGUCUUGUACACACC